This 321-nucleotide ribosomal RNA is filed under the name Triticum aestivum (bread wheat). RNAcentral describes it as "partial small subunit ribosomal RNA". The record is from RNAcentral. Lineage: Eukaryota; Viridiplantae; Streptophyta; Magnoliopsida; Poales; Poaceae.
AUGCUGCUGCUCCUCUUCGCCGUCGGCGCCGCGGUAGGCGUUGUAACUUGCCGCGGCCCCGCCGCGCCAGCCUCCUCCCGGGCCGCGCACCGGCUCCCGCGCGCCGUCGCGUCACACCUUCGCCUGCGCCGCGCCAGGCUCCUGGGCAGGCCGCCCUCCUCCACCGUGCUGCUCCUUGUUGGAUUAAUUAUGAAUCUAUGGGAUGCCAUUAGCAGGAUCAAAUUGCAUUUAGAUCACCCAAUAACCAUGAACAGAGAAAAGUUCAGAGAUCCUUUACAUGUCAUGGGAGUGGACAUGAUCGCCUGCUCAGUGCAGGCGUGA